This 326-nucleotide ribosomal RNA is filed under the name uncultured eukaryote. RNAcentral's name for it is "partial 18S ribosomal RNA". It matches the Rfam family "Eukaryotic small subunit ribosomal RNA", at positions 1470 to 1796 of the family's 1831-position model. The record is from RNAcentral.
CCCUUAGAUGUUCUGGGCCGCACGCGCGCUACACUGACGAAGUCAGCGAGCAUCUCCUUCGCCGAAAGGUGCGGGGAAUCUUGUGAAACUUUGUCGUGCUGGGGAUUGAUUUUUGAAAUUCUUGAUCAUCAACGAGGAAUUCCUAGUAAACGCAGAUCAUCAAUCUGCAUUGAUUACGUCCCUGCCCUUUGUACACACCGCCCGUCGCACCUACCGAUUGGAUGGUCCGGUGAAGCCUCGGGAUUGUGGUUCUUGCCGCUUUAUUGUGGCGUGACCGCGAGAACUUGUCUAAACCUUAUCAUCUAGAGGAAGGUGAAGUCGUAACA